RNAcentral lists this long non-coding RNA (556 nucleotides) under Equus caballus (horse). RNAcentral describes it as "lncRNA (ENSECAG00000051340.1)". Lineage: Eukaryota; Metazoa; Chordata; Mammalia; Perissodactyla; Equidae. The record is from RNAcentral.
CACCUGUGGCAUGGGGGGGGGGCACCUGCUGUGUCUGGGGAGACAGCCAGGAGGGGCGGAGAAUUCCCCAGAAGACCCUGGACCCUGAACCCCGCUGAGGGAAGGGGGCACCCAGGGCUUAAGGCGUCAGCGGGCUGGGACAGGGUGGGGGGAUCCCGGGAGGCCAAGGGUGCGGGCGGCUCUCUGGCUCCUCUGUGGGGCCAGAAUGGGGCCCAAGGGCAGGACCCAGGGCUGGGGCCGGAGCCUGAGGGGUGUGGAGACCCUGCUUGGGGGGGCCAGGGUGGGCUCCCCGAGGAGACAACUUUGAAGAACAAGGAGAGGGAGCUGCCUAGGUGACAAAGAGCCAGAAGAAACUGUAUGUGCAAAGGCCCUGAGAUCCUCACCGCCGGCAGGGGAGGCGGGUCCGUGUCUCCGAGCUGCAUGUGGAAGGGGGCCGGGCACCUCUCUGCGCUGCCGUGGAUGGCCUGCAAAACGCUCCCCCCACCGACGCGGAAGACGAGCAAGAAACAGGCACAGGCGGCCGCGGGCAGGGGGCUCAGAACAGCCCCAGACGCAC